GCACUAUUGAAGAGUCCCACGAUAGGAUGAAACAGCCGUCCAGUAC
RNAcentral lists this non-coding RNA (46 nucleotides) under Schistosoma mattheei. Lineage: Eukaryota; Metazoa; Platyhelminthes; Trematoda; Strigeidida; Schistosomatidae. The record is from RNAcentral.